Molecule: non-coding RNA, 73 nt
Organism: Cervus elaphus (red deer)
Lineage: Eukaryota; Metazoa; Chordata; Mammalia; Artiodactyla; Cervidae
Source: the annotation of a RefSeq genome assembly
UCCCUGGUGGUCCAAUGGUUAGGACUCCAUGCUUCCACUGUUGGGGACCUGAGUUCGAUCCUUGGUCAGGGAA